ACGGAAGGCAGCAGUGGGGAAUGUUGGGCAAUGGGCGAAAGCCUGACCCAGCAACGCCGCGUGAGGGAAGAAGGUUUUCGGAUUGUAAACCUCUGUCCUUGAUGAAAAGAGAGAGAUGGUAAUCGAGGAGGAAGCCCCGGCUAACUACGUGCCAGCAGCCGCGGUAAUACGUAGGGGGCGAGCGUUGUCCGGAAUGAUUGGGCGUAAAGGGCGCGUAGGCGGCCUGUUAAGUCUGGAGUGAAAGUCCUGUCUUCAAGAUGGGAAUUGCUUUGGAUACUGAUGGGCUUGAGUGCAGGAGAGGUUAUCGGAAUUCCCGGUGUAGCGGUGAAAUGCGUAGAGAUCGGGAGGAACACCAGUGGCGAAGGCGGGUAACUGGACUGCAACUGACGCUGAGGCGCGAAAGUGUGGGGAGCAAACAGGAUUAGAUACCCUGGUA
RNAcentral lists this ribosomal RNA (436 nucleotides) under uncultured bacterium. RNAcentral's name for it is "partial 16S ribosomal RNA". It matches the Rfam family "Bacterial small subunit ribosomal RNA", at positions 341 to 792 of the family's 1533-position model. The record is from RNAcentral.